CUGGUAAAGUUCAGCAGGUCCUGAGAGCAAUAUAGCCUGACUUGCAGGCGCAAGGUUCCUUGUGUACUUGGAAACUUCAGCAUGCUUCAAGUGAACAUAUGCAGCACUUGUAAGUAAUGCCCUGGUCUGCUCACUGAGGUAGUAGGGGAAUUGGUCGAAGGUGACACCAGUUUCUCUGCCAUCAAUCACUUGCCUGAGCAUUUCUUGCUCCAAGUUCUCUGCGGUUACAGCGUUGAGAGACGAAGCUUUCGCAGUCAAUUUGUUCUGUCCCGACGCUAAUCCGAAUCCUACCCCUACCCCGACACCAACGCUCAAGGCCGAUAACAGUAUGUGCUUCUGUUCCAUUUGAUCCGUGGUAUGCGACUUGCCUCAACCGCUUGUCCGUGUCUGGUGUCUCUGUAUUUUCUAAAAGUUGUGUUUGGUUUUGUUUGAAAUUCCUACAAGUGGCCAAAUAGAGAAAGAGGCGGAUCUGGAGACACGAAAGGGUGGGAGAUAAGAGUGGAACGGGGCGGUGGCUAGUGGCGGCUGAGAGAGGUGGUGGAGGUGGGAAAGUUUAUAUGGUUCCCACUAUAUGAGGCUUGUCCCUCGGUUUUUGAGUUUUUAAAGCGGAAACGAUUGGUGAUUGCUG
Molecule: unclassified non-coding RNA, 628 nt
Filed under: Hevea brasiliensis (rubber tree)
Lineage: Eukaryota; Viridiplantae; Streptophyta; Magnoliopsida; Malpighiales; Euphorbiaceae
Source: RNAcentral